Molecule: long non-coding RNA, 649 nt
Organism: Sitodiplosis mosellana (orange wheat blossom midge)
Lineage: Eukaryota; Metazoa; Arthropoda; Insecta; Diptera; Cecidomyiidae
Exons: 2
Source: RefSeq, a predicted model, not a curated record
CAGUAUGUAUCAUUGAGCUAGAGCUGUAUAUAAAAGUAACUUAGAACUUUUGACAAUCAGUUAAUUCAAAGACAUCACACAAUACAGAUAUUAGACUUGACUCUAGUGAUAUAUCACGUGCGUUUCAAUUUUAUCAUCAAACAUUAAUUUAAUUUUCAAAAUGAAAAUAUUAUAUUUGUUUGUCAUAUUUGUGGCCGUUGCUGUUGCUUUCCCGUCAGGUGAAAGUGAACCAAAAACACAGCCAGAAUUGCAACUCGAACAACAAACAGAAGAAAAAAAUUCACUUCACUCAGUUGAAGCGAAUCCACCGAGUGACAAAACAGAGAACGAAGUAAAUCGGAAUAAACGAUUCAUCUUCCCGUUUAUAUUCGCCAGUGUUGUUGUCGACCCAGUUGUUUAUGAGCCAGUUGUUUAUGAAGUAGAAGAAGCUGUUCCGGUUGAAACAAGGACCGUAGUCAAAACAGUGAAAUCAGCUCCAGUUGCAACCAAAUCCAAUUCAGUUGUCAAAACAAAAGUCAGUGCACCGUUUGUUGACGUUGAUGUCGAUGUUUAGGUGCAGAUCGGCAUUUUAUUCCAGUUAAUUAGUUGUAACAAGCAGAUAUUCACCAAUAAAUUAAGAAAUAAAUAAAAGUAUUACCAAUUUGAAUAA